Long non-coding RNA from Fundulus heteroclitus (mummichog), 1459 nucleotides. RefSeq lists it as uncharacterized. Lineage: Eukaryota; Metazoa; Chordata; Actinopteri; Cyprinodontiformes; Fundulidae. The transcript has 4 exons. The record is from RefSeq and is a predicted model, not a curated record.
GGGGAAAAAAAAUCAUCCCCAAGUAUAACAAGAGACGAACAGUUAGUGCUGAUUUUCAUUUGCAUAAAUUUUCAUAUAUUUUAGUGAAAAUAAUAGCGGGAGCCGAGGAGCGCUCCUGCUCAGUCGAGGCAGAGGAAAGAAAACUCAGGGAGCAGCGAGUCGCGGGGAAGGGAGAUAACCAUUUACACGCUCCGUGGGAACAAACUGAAGCUAUUUCCUUCAUUCUUGGACGCAAGGAGGCCUAAUAAACACUAAACUUUGGUUCCCCGUCCUCCUGACUCCCUCUGAUGCAGAACCUCUGGGGAAUUUAAAGGACCUGCACCCAAACUGAACAAAGGGACGAUUUCGUAAGCAAACUCAGUGUUUAAUUCGAUGUAUUAGCUGUAGUCACACUCCGGUGCUUGGCACAGAUCUCUAAAUCUGUGGCAAAUUUUGCUCCCUUAAACCACGGAUCAUCUGCAAAAUGUUGAUUUUCACAAGACGGUGAGCAUGACGUUUCUUUACGUUGUCUUCUGCGUGAAAAAUCUGUAUUGUGUUUUUGCAAGUGUACAAUAAAAACAAGCCAGCAGAAGCCGAGCUCUGUGUCUGUUUUGUGCAAAAACUAAAGCACCCUGAAGUGCCUCACUUGUCUCUGUGUCCUGAAUGACCCCUUGUGGCCGGGACAGGCCUCUCUUUAAGGACGCACAGACAGAUGGACGGACGGAGGCUCCACAGUGACCAGCGCCUCUUCAUCCCUGCACCAGCGCACAAGAACUAAACCCGAUGCAGACGCUUUAAGGGGAAGCCAGACAGCAGUGGAAAUGAGCUCGGCCGUGCGGCGAGCGUGGCGACCUCGUGGAUAACCCCGCACUGUUUGCACCGCUCUCCCCACUAAAUGAUGCCUACUGUAUCCUGCCCAGGAGGAGGAGAAGGAGGAGAAGGAGGAGGAAGCUUCGAAUGAGACUGCAACCCACCCCACCCCCUAGUUUGUUCCCAUCAGCCUGUCUGGGCAACUUAAAGGAGCAAAGAAAUCUGUUAGCUCAGUUUGCAAGGAAACAUUCUGACUGCUCAUUUCUGACACGGUUGAUCCAUGACUUACUCCACAGUUGGAUGCAUGUUCAGUUUAGAGUUGGUAAUGUUGGAACUAAGACCAGUAAGAAAAAAACAAACAAACGAAUGAAACGAUUCAGAGGUGAUUAAAGUUCACCUUCUCUUCGUUUUAGGACAUGCCUAGUGAUGGUAGUUAUAUUGUAGUUCAUCAUUUCUGACUUUAUUGAGUUUAACGUUUCUUUGACCUGUAACCAACAUUUCAAUGUUCAAAUCUCAUCGAGGUGAUGGCAUUUCAAAGUGUGCGGAAGUGCGUAAUCCUAUAUCGUCCGUUGAUUUUAAUAGUGGGAAAAUCAAUGGAUGAAGAUGCAAAUUAUAAAUAUGUUUGUCCAUUAGUGUGUUUACUGUACCUUUCAUAAAUAUUGCACAUGUA